Molecule: ribosomal RNA, 429 nt
Filed under: uncultured bacterium
Lineage: Bacteria
Also listed under: 1 other name
Description: bacterial SSU rRNA
Rfam family: Bacterial small subunit ribosomal RNA
Source: RNAcentral
UGGGGAAUAUUGCACAAUGGGCGCAAGCCUGAUGCAGCCAUGCCGCGUGUAUGAAGAAGGCCUUCGGGUUGUAAAGUACUUUCAGCGGGGAGGAAGGGAGUGAGGUUAAUAACCUUAUUCAUUGACGUUACCCGCAGAAGAAGCACCGGCUAACUCCGUGCCAGCAGCCGCGGUAAUACGGAGGGUGCAAGCGUUAAUCGGAAUUACUGGGCGUAAAGCGCACGCAGGCGGUCUGUCAAGUCGGAUGUGAAAUCCCCGGGCUCAACCUGGGAACUGCAUUCGAAACUGGCAGGCUGGAGUCUUGUAGAGGGGGGUAGAAUUCCAGGUGUAGCGGUGAAAUGCGUAGAGAUCUGGAGGAAUACCGGUGGCGAAGGCGGCCCCCUGGACAAAGACUGACGCUCAGGUGCGAAAGCGUGGGGAGCAAACAGG